GCAUGGUGAUGACCUAUGAAUUGACAGCCAGUGUUUGCAACACAACUGCCUGUCAGUUCUGUAGGCCACUGCUGUGU
This is a non-coding RNA of Salmo salar (Atlantic salmon), 77 nucleotides long. The record is from Rfam. Lineage: Eukaryota; Metazoa; Chordata; Actinopteri; Salmoniformes; Salmonidae.